UUCGCCAAAAGGUCUACAAGGUCUUCUCGACUGUGUACAAACUUCUGCUUGUAAAUGGAGACUUAAAUAUAACGGAACAAAAAGUUGUGUCUUGGCUUUUAAUAAUAAUACAGAUGUUGACAUUAAGCUUGGAAAUACAAAAAUAGCGUGUAAAACUGAUACAAUUUAUGCUGGUACAUUGAUAACUAACAAUAAUAAAACGUUUGAAAGGACAAAAAAUGCGGCUAAGAAGUUAAAGAAAAAUCUACACUCAUUGUAUAGUGCUGGAGUAAACCCGAAAGGCCUUACGCCGAUUACAAACACGUUAAUAUGGAAGCGUUUUGUUCUUCCUACAUCAUUGUACUCUUGCGAAGUAUGGGGACAACUCUAAAAUUC
RNAcentral lists this long non-coding RNA (375 nucleotides) under Mytilus galloprovincialis (Mediterranean mussel). Lineage: Eukaryota; Metazoa; Mollusca; Bivalvia; Mytilida; Mytilidae. The record is from RNAcentral.